Non-coding RNA from Picea glauca (white spruce), 45 nucleotides. NCBI's taxonomy places the organism in Eukaryota, Viridiplantae, Streptophyta, Pinopsida, Pinales, Pinaceae. The record is from Rfam.
GAAACGGUGUCUUUAGACACCACCGAUCUUAUGUAAAGUUUAUUU